UCACUUCAUGGCUGGUUUCAGAAAUCAUUUCACUAUUGAAAUGGCUCUAGUUGGGCUUCUCAUAUUGGCUGUCCUAGAUUUCACAGGUCUUUUUCUCUUUCCCUCUUAAUUAGAGCAUGCUUACUGUGUAGUACUAGAUUAGAUUACAAAGUAUAACAAAUGAGAUUUUAGCUUCUUUUUCUCGUUAAUAUUGUUUUGUACAUUCCUAUCUACCUUCCCAAACACGCCAUUAAGUUUAACGACGAUAUAUGUCACGCCUAGCAGCAUAAUCUGCAGAUUAUGAAUUCAAAUAUUACGUGCUUAGUCCUGAUAUUAUUUUGUAUGAGCACUUCUCAAUAAUUUGUGUAAUAAUAGGCUUAUUUUAUGUUCAUUAUGAUACAGUGGCUCAGACAGGGGUUUGUUAUGGAAGGAACGGGAAUGGAUUACCACCUCAAGCAGAAGUCAUCGCGCUAUACAACCAGAAUAACAUCCGAAGAAUGAGAAUCUACGACCCAGAUCAGGCUACUCUUCAGGCACUUGGAGGCUCCAACAUUGAGCUCAUACUAGGCGUCCCAAACCAGGAUGUCCUUCAGAAUCUUGCUGCUAGCCAAAGUAAUGCAGAUACUUGGGUUCAAAACAAUGUAAGAAACUAUCCUAAUGUCAAGUUUAGAUACAUUGCAGUUGGAAACGAAGUGAGUCCCUUGAAAUCGGACACAUCUCAGUAUGUACCGUUUGUCCUCCCUGCCAUGAGAAAUAUUCAAACUGCAAUUUCUGCAGCUGGACUUGGGAACCAGAUUAAGGUUUCUACUUCCAUUGAAACUGGUAUGAUCGAAAAUUCUUAUCCCCCAUCAAAUGGUGUAUUUCAAGCUCCAGUUCGAGAAUAUAUUCAAGGGAUCAUUGACUUCUUGGUAAACAACAAAGCCCCUCUACUUGUCAACAUAUACCCGUAUUUUGCACGCAAAGAUAAUCCACAACAGAUUACUCUCGAGUAUGCUCUUUUUACGUCAGAUGGAAUUACAGUGCCUGAUGGAACGCGUUACCAAAAUCUUUUCUACGCCUUACUAGAUGCCAUGUACGCAGCCCUUGAAAAGUCUGGUGGCUCAACUCUGGAUAUUGUUGUAUCCGAGAGUGGUUGGCCUUCGGAUGGAGGAGGACCAGACACGUCCAUUGAUAACUCAAGGACCUAUAAUACGAAUUUGGUGCAACGUGUAAAGACAGGAAGCCCAAAGAGGCCUGGAAAAGCAAUAGAAACUUACAUUUUUGCUAUGUUUGACGAAGAUCAGAAGAGCCCCGAUUAUGAGAAAUUUUUCGGGCUCUUUCGACCAAACAAACAACCUAAGUACCCGAUCAGCUUUGACUAGUUCUAGAUAUCAAGUGUACCAAUAAGGAGGACAGUGCUCUAGAACUGGGACAUACAAGUUCUAUAUAAGAAUUCCUCCAGUUUAUUUGAUGAGCAAUAAAGAGCAGUAUGAAUAAUAUUUUUUUUCUUUUUCUUUUUCAAUUCUCAAGCCAUACACAAAUCAGAAGAUUGCAGCCAGAGAUUCUAUUGAAAGGAUUUUAACUUCAUAAAUG
This 1551-nucleotide long non-coding RNA is filed under the name Olea europaea subsp. europaea. Lineage: Eukaryota; Viridiplantae; Streptophyta; Magnoliopsida; Lamiales; Oleaceae. The record is from RNAcentral.